Long non-coding RNA from Oncorhynchus tshawytscha (Chinook salmon), 1744 nucleotides. RefSeq lists it as uncharacterized. Lineage: Eukaryota; Metazoa; Chordata; Actinopteri; Salmoniformes; Salmonidae. The transcript has 3 exons. The record is from RefSeq and is a predicted model, not a curated record.
CUGCCUUGAUCAGGGGCAGAAUGACAGAUUUUUACCUUGUCGGCUCGGGGAUUCCAUCCAGCGAGAACUGGUAUCUUACAGGUUCUGAGAUCCUUAUACACCUGUGUGACACGGACGGCUGCUUUGUGGUCAGUGGAGGUCAGUUUAUGAGAGGAAUUGUAGGAUAUUAUGGACCGUUGGUGUAGUAUCGUAACAUAAUACCUGACUUCAGGAUGGUAAGAAUCACAGUCAGACACAUUCAAAUCCAUCUUUAAUUCAACAAAACAUGUUAUACCUGUAUUCACUCGUCUCCCACAGUCUGAAGUCAUUGUUCCAGACCAUAUUAGGAGUCUGAAAUUGACUGGAUGGCUACAGUCCUGUCAGGAGUUUCAGUUGGAGCUUUCACGUCAAGUUGACUGGAUAUUUAUUGAGAGCCAGACAGAAACAAGAGUCUGGUAAUGAUGUGUAACAUCCACUAGAUGGCAUGAUGGUGUAUAAAAUAUUUAGUGGCUCACAAAGUUAGUGUCACUCCAUCCAAACUGACACGACCUCUGUUUUCCAGAGAACUGUAUGGAUGCUUAUCAUGAGCAGACAUUACAUAUCAUCUAGCUGUGACACCACACUGUGAACCCUGGGAGACACCCAGUGCCCCUUAAAGACAUUGUGCAGUAUGACUGCCAAAGCUAAUGGCCUCCAAGCAUGGGGGCAGAAAGGUUGAUCUGGCAUCUGUGGGAAGAGCUCUGUACUCCUUGUUUUAACUGUGUUAAGAGAGCACUGGAUCCACUCGACUAGUUAACAGGAUAAUGGCCCUUCUGCUGCAAGCUGGCUGUCUGGGGAACAACAGAGCUCUACACCUCUCAUCAGUGCUCUACAGCAGUGGUGCAGAAGUGGAGAGGCAGGCCAAUAAGGUGGAUGAAUGAGUUUGGCUAUUCAGGUGUCUGUCUUCAUGAAUAGAGCCAGGAGUUUAUUUAUACUUUAUCCCUACUACUCUGACAUCGCCAAGUGGAUAUUCUCUGACCAGCACAACCCCUCACCUCAGCAGGUAGGCCUUCGUGCUUGAAUCGAGAUCAUCUCGGCAGUGUGUAUUACACAAUCCUAAAACAGGUCAUUUAAUGAAAACUACUCCUCCUCUGCUCUGUCUGUAUUGUAGAUGUUUGUAGAAUCUAUUUACUUGAACGAGGAAGUGCUGAUGUUCCAAAUCAAAGGAAACCAUGAUAUCUUCCACUGGCUAAAACUCCAGGCCCACAAUGGAGCCGCAGAUGCAGAGGUUCUAUUCAUCUGUCUGAUGGUUUCCAGUAUUAAACAUCAUCUGACAAAAUCUUUGUGAUAACGGUUGAACUGCUCUUCUAUAGCAAGCUGUGGCCCGUAUGCUGUUCUGGGGCCAGCAGGGCGUGUCUCCAGACAUCCAGACUGCUGUGAGACACUACGAGAGCGGAGUUGUCUGUCUGCGGGGACCCAGUGUCCAUGUAAAACUAGGCCAUAGUCCUCAUGCAGGUCCGAGGUGAAACACUCAGUUUGAUGACACCGUCAUCAGUCUCUGUAGUCAUCCUAAGUUCAAUGAUAGUAAUGUCUUUUGACAAGACCAUCAUUACAUUUAAGGGCCAAGGAGUCAAGAAAGACAUUCCAAGGGCAGUCACUUUCCUGAGGAAGCAGUAGAGCAGGGUUUCACGCCAGCGAUCAACGCCCUUGGCUGGUGCUAUGAGCAGUUUGAGAAGGACUACUAUUUUUGAAAAUGUAUUUUAAAUAAAUAAAUAAAUUAACUACC